CCUACGGGAGGCAGCAGUGGGGAAUAUUGCACAAUGGGGGAAACCCUGAUGCAGCGACGCCGCGUGGGUGACGAAGUAUUUCGGUAUGUAAAGCCCUAUUAGCAGGGAAGAAGAUGACAGUACCUGACUAAGAAGCCCCGGCUAACUACGUGCCAGCAGCCGCGGUAACACGUAGGGGGCAAGCGUUAUCCGGAUUUACUGGGUGUAAAGGGAGCGUAGGUGGCAUGGCAAGCCAGAAGUGAAAACCCUGGGCUUAACCCCGCGGAUUGCUUUUGGAACUGUCAGGCUUGAGUGCAGGAGGGGCAGGCGGAAUUCCUGGUGUAGCGGUGAAAUGCGUAGAUAUCAGGAGGAACACCGAUGGCGAAGGCAGCCUGCUGGACUGUAACUGACACUGAGGCUCGAAAGCGUGGGGAGCAAACAGGAUUAGAUACCCCAGUAGUC
RNAcentral lists this ribosomal RNA (441 nucleotides) under uncultured bacterium. RNAcentral's name for it is "partial 16S ribosomal RNA". It matches the Rfam family "Bacterial small subunit ribosomal RNA", at positions 338 to 795 of the family's 1533-position model. The record is from RNAcentral.